Molecule: ribosomal RNA, 457 nt
Filed under: uncultured prokaryote
Description: bacterial SSU rRNA
Rfam family: Bacterial small subunit ribosomal RNA
Source: RNAcentral
GCGCCGGAUCCAAGGCUAAGACUGACCCACCCAUGCCGCGUGAGUGAAGAAGGCCUUCGGAUUGUAAAGCUCUUUCGGCAGGAACGAAACGGCGCGCUCUAACAUAGCGCGUUAAUGACGGUACCUGAAGAACAAGCACCGGCUAACUACGUGCCAGCAGCCGCGGUAAUACGUAGGGUGCGAGCGUUAAUCGGAAUUACUGGGCGUAAAGCGUGCGCAGGCGGUUGUGUAAGACAGGUGUGAAAUCCCCGGGCUUAACCUGGGAACUGCGCUUGUGACUGCACGGCUAGAGUAUGGCAGAGGGGGGUGGAAUUCCACGUGUAGCAGUGAAAUGCGUAGAGAUGUGGAGGAACACCGAUUGCGAAGGGAGCCCCCUGGGCCAAUACUGACGCUCAUGCACGAAAGCGUGGGGAGCAAACAGGAUUAGAUACCCUGGUAAUCCACGCCCCUAAACGAU